Molecule: ribosomal RNA, 312 nt
Filed under: uncultured bacterium
Lineage: Bacteria
Description: partial 16S ribosomal RNA
Rfam family: Bacterial small subunit ribosomal RNA
Source: RNAcentral
UGGGGAAUAUUGGACAAUGGGGGCAACCCUGAUCCAGCAAUGCCGCGUGUGUGAAGAAGGUCUUCGGAUUGUAAAGCACUUUCGACGGGGACGAUGAUGACGGUACCCGUAGAAGAAGCCCCGGCUAACUUCGUGCCAGCAGCCGCGGUAAUACGAAGGGGGCUAGCGUUGCUCGGAAUGACUGGGCGUAAAGGGCGUGUAGGCGGUUUACACAGUCAGAUGUGAAAUCCCCGGGCUUAACCUGGGAGCUGCAUUUGAUACGUGUAGACUAGAGUGUGAGAGAGGGUUUGUGGAAUUCCCAGUGUAGAGGUG